GUAGGGUGCAAGCGUUAAUCGGAAUUACUGGGCGUAAAGCGUGCGCAGGCGGCUUUGCAAGACAGAUGUGAAAUCCCCGGGCUCAACCUGGGAACUGCAUUUGUGACUGCAAGGCUAGAGUACGGCAGAGGGGGAUGGAAUUCCGCGUGUAGCAGUGAAAUGCGUAGAUAUGCGGAGGAACACCAAUGGCGAAGGCAAUCCCCUGGGCCUGUACUGACGCUCAUGCACGAAAGCGUGGGGAGCAAACAGGAUUAGAUACCCUGGUAGUCCACGCCCUAAACGAUGUCAACUGGUUGUUGGACGGCUUGCUGUUCAGUAACGAAGCUAACGCGUGAAGUUGACCGCCUGGGGAGUACGGCCGCAAGGUUGA
RNAcentral lists this ribosomal RNA (370 nucleotides) under uncultured Imtechium sp. RNAcentral's name for it is "bacterial SSU rRNA". It matches the Rfam family "Bacterial small subunit ribosomal RNA", at positions 527 to 897 of the family's 1533-position model. The record is from RNAcentral. Lineage: Bacteria; Pseudomonadati; Pseudomonadota; Betaproteobacteria.